UUGCAUUAGCUUUCAUUGGUGGUAGUGGCGGAAGAGGAGAAGGAACGAGAGUGGCAGAGCUUUGGGCGGAGCAGAUAAGGGUUUUUGAAGGUGUGAAGAAAGACAAGAUCUUUGGUAUGGAUGAGGCAGUCAUUGUUGGGGGUUGUUUUCCAAUUCUACUGGAAUUUUUCGGGAGCUCUAAAUCCUUCAAGAUCGUCGAAAGAUUCUGUUACAGUGGUGGUGUGAGUUCAAUUUUUU
RNAcentral lists this long non-coding RNA (237 nucleotides) under Olea europaea (common olive). Its description in RNAcentral is "long non-coding RNA (OEUR_LNC010659)". The record is from RNAcentral. Lineage: Eukaryota; Viridiplantae; Streptophyta; Magnoliopsida; Lamiales; Oleaceae.